CCACCGCCCGUUGCGUCGCGCGAGGCACGCCCAGGACUCGUUGCCUUCAUGGCAAUGCCAUGCCCGCAGUCCGCGGAGCCCGAGUUCCACCAUGAACUGCCUCGACCACCCUCAUAAAAGGCCCGCCUCCCCGCGAUGCCACACGCGCCGCCUGGCCCCGCCGGACGGAGCACGCCGCCGUCGCCUGCCAUCGUCAACAACCAUUAGUCGUCCGCCGUCGCCGCUCGGACGUUUAGGAAUAACGCUAACACCGUCGUCGCUGGUUGACAAGGGCCACACCGUCGCGGGCCGAGCUCCACACGCUCCGGUUCAUCACCAACACCGUGGCUCCACUCCCGCCCCCCGACGGCCCUCCUGAAGAAAUUCAUCUCAGCGGCGGUCCAGAAUGAAGACUCCUCAUCCUCUGGGGGUGGAGGACUCGGGCGUGGAGUUUGUUAGCGGUGGAUUGAGUGGAGAGGUGAGCGCUAAUCACGGAAGAGAGGUUGCGGACACAGGGUGGAGUAUUAGAUCAAGGCUAGCGGUUGGAUUGAAUUUAAUGACCCUAAUCCUGCGGUGGUAAUGGGUUCGUGUAUAUUUAUGAGGUGCGUUUAAAGAAGUUUACGCUUGAUUGUUUAUUAGUAGUAGAGAUAAAAAUAUGCCUUGAUCACCAUGCUGAAAAUAAUACACCUUACAUAAAGGAACAGAGGGAAUAUAUCUUCUUGAUACCUUGUACGGUCAGAUGCUAAAAGUUGAGCACAAUAUUUCUCCUUUUUUUGCUAGGAUACACAGUAUAGUUUCCUUUUCUCUUUUGUGUUUGCUUGUCAGCCCUCUUUAUCCAAUCCAAACUCCUCUCUUAAUUUUUUUUCUUAUUUUUUCUCUCUUUUAGUUGGCUCUUGCCAACUUUUUAUUCUUGCAUCGUGUACGUGUCUGUUCAACAUACAUAGUUCAAGCGUGUAACGUAAUA
Molecule: long non-coding RNA, 943 nt
Organism: Triticum dicoccoides
Lineage: Eukaryota; Viridiplantae; Streptophyta; Magnoliopsida; Poales; Poaceae
Exons: 2
Source: RefSeq, a predicted model, not a curated record